This 493-nucleotide ribosomal RNA is filed under the name uncultured Bacteroides sp. RNAcentral describes it as "bacterial SSU rRNA". It matches the Rfam family "Bacterial small subunit ribosomal RNA", at positions 28 to 510 of the family's 1533-position model. Lineage: Bacteria; Pseudomonadati; Bacteroidota; Bacteroidia; Bacteroidales; Bacteroidaceae. The record is from RNAcentral.
GAUGAACGCUAGCUACAGGCUUAACACAUGCAAGUCGAGGGGCAGCAUGGUCUUAGCUUGCUAAGGCCGAUGGCGACCGGCGCACGGGUGAGUAACACGUAUCCAACCUGCCGCCUACUCUUGGACAGCCUUCUGAAAGGAAGAUUAAUCCAGGAUGGCAUCAUGAGCCCACAUGUUCUCAUGAUUAAAGGUAUUCCGGUAGACGAUGGGGAUGCGUUCCAUUAGAUAGUAGGCGGGGUAACGGCCCACCUAGUCGACGAUGGAUAGGGGUUCUGAGAGGAAGGUCCCCCACAUUGGAACUGAGACACGGUCCAAACUCCUACGGGAGGCAGCAGUGAGGAAUAUUGGUCAAUGGGCGAGAGCCUGAACCAGCCAAGUAGCGUGAAGGAUGACUGCCCUAUGGGUUGUAAACUUCUUUUAUAAAGGAAUAAAGUCGGGUAUGCAUACCCGUUUGCAUGUACUUUAUGAAUAAGGAUCGGCUAACUCCGUGCCA